UCUUCUUCACCUCACCCCUAAGCUUCAUCAUCGACUAACACCCCACUCCAACCCUUUCCCCAUCGUCGUUCUUCUUCAUUGCCAACAACCUAAGAGCAGCGUAACUCCUUCUGCCUCACAAAAUCGGUACCCCCAAAAAUAUAGUCCUCAUAUAAUUUUCUGCACCAAGACAGAAAACCAGAGCAAUUUCCAGUCCAUCGUUGCUAAACAUAAAAGCAUCGAAGAAAGCGCAGCCCAACAAGUAUAAAAAUAGAGGCGAAUAGCUUGAAAUCAACCACAAGUGCAUCGUCUCUUUGCUGGAAAAUCCUUCGCCAACCCCCAAUUCAAAAAUUCUAGUCAAACAACCCUCAAAAUGCUACUGUUUCAGUUCAAAACCCAGCUCCAAAAUAGCUGAAAAUAACCUCAAAACUAGCUGGACUUCAACUUCGUCGUUUUGGUUCAGUUCGAGUUUUCCCGGCGAGUUUUGAGUGCGAUUUAGAGUCGAGAAAAACAGAACAAGUUUUUGGGAUCCUCGUUUGUCGUUCAGAGUUCGUCAACGAGGUUUACAGUUCAGGCUUCUGCCCUUAUUGUUAUUUUCUAGUCGAAUCUAAAUUACGGGAGUCCAUUGUAAUGAAGUUUCUUCAGUAGAGUGAAGUUUCGUUUCAGCCGGAGAAGGUCCAUCUCUCUUCCUUUUCUAUUCUAUGUGUGC
Molecule: long non-coding RNA, 688 nt
Filed under: Nicotiana benthamiana
Lineage: Eukaryota; Viridiplantae; Streptophyta; Magnoliopsida; Solanales; Solanaceae
Description: long non-coding RNA (NBEN_LNC037383)
Source: RNAcentral